Long non-coding RNA from Gallus gallus (chicken), 1555 nucleotides. The record is from Ensembl. NCBI's taxonomy places the organism in Eukaryota, Metazoa, Chordata, Aves, Galliformes, Phasianidae.
AUAAGGCAGUGUUCCUAGAGCUCCUGUCCCAUUAAAAUUUUGACCUGGCCUCCUUGUUGGCUUGUAUCUGAACAUCUCCAAGGCACCCUGUCAAUGACGUGAUCCGCCUCUGGCCACUAUCUGUGACAUGUGACAGAAGGGCAGUCUGACAGAAUGGCAUCUGACAUGGCAGCACAUAUGAAGAUGUGUCACUCUACACAUGCCUCUUCCACAUGCCUCCAUGCGGAAAAAAUGGCACCCACUGACAUUCAUUGACACCUGCUGAACAUCUGUGGAGUCCAAACAGUGAAUAAAGUUUUUCACUUAAGACGUUCAUCCGUUGGCAGUACAGUUUAUCUCCUUGGGAGGUAAACAGACAUAAGGGGUGGCAACAGGAAGAGCCUUUGUGCUGCUCCUGGCUGCAGCACAGUGCAUGACAGACAGCUAUGCCUGUCUCCUGAUCUCUCCUGACCACAUAUCCAGAGAGAUUUGUGAUUCAGAAUGGCACUAGAGAAGAUCCUCUUUGAAGAAAAGGCAACCUUCCAGCUUGGGUAAUGGAGCCAGCCCUGCACAGGCAAGGCCAUUCUGGAGUCACCAGGGAGCAACCAGCGAGCACCAACCAUAAGAAACUGAGUCUCUGAGGCUUCUGCAGCUCCAGAAUUGCUCCUAAGGUAACGAGAUUCACAGACCAUUGUCUCCAAAAAGCCGUUAUUCCGCCCAUACCCUUCCUUGUCCUGACUGUGAAUUCCAUACUCAUCACACGCUUUCCCAAGAAAGUGUCUGCAUGAACCUUUGCUGAUGGGUGUUACAAUAUUUCACAGUAGAAAUCCAGAGAAUGUGUUGUAAAAAGCAGAAAGACUUGGUCUGGCUGAGAUUUUUUUCUUUUUGUACUAGACUGGGAGCUCUACCAAAUAAAACACCCUGAAGUUCUCUGCUUCUGUCUGACUUAGCAAACCGAACAAGUGAAGUGGAUAUAAAUAUCCCUGCGGCAUUUAUCAAGAAGUGAAAUUGAGCAACAAAGUAAAUUUUGGUGAUGAGGAGGUACAUUGUUGAUGGCCUUCAGAUACAACAACAGCUGCAGUAAGAAGGCCUUUCGGUUCUAGAACCUGAAGAAGGAACCUUGCAGUCCAAUUGUACUGCUGGUUACCUGCUCCCCUGACAGCACUUGAGCACUCUGUCCACACAAUGCAGUCAUUCUCUUCAGGCUGAUGAACUCUGAGGAUAUCAGUGACAAACAGCAAAGUAUUUUGAUUGCAACACAGGUCUUUGAACUAAAACUCCAGAGGAAUGUUGGCACAGGGCUAACAAUGCCGAGCAAUUAGCCUAAGUGCUCUCCCACUGAAAUGUAAUCACCCUCCACAAGGAACUAGCUCCUGCUGGGGAAAGCAAGGAGAAGGCGAAUUUGGCAAGAAGUCACCUGGCAGGCGGUCUACCAACACCUCCCUGAGUGCCACUCAGGUGCCAUGUUCACCCUCUGGAGGCUGCAUGUGAAUGAGGCCCCAGGCCCCCAGCAGUGUCUGGCUGCAUCCAAGGAGCCUCUCACAUGUUUUUCCCUUUGAGUAAAAACAGGAGGCCU